CCUACGGGAGGCAGCAGUGGGGAAUAUUGCACAAUGGGGGAAACCCUGAUGCAGCGACGCCGCGUGAGUGAAGAAGGAAUUCGGUAUGUAAAGCUCUAUCAGCAGGGAAGAAAAUGACGGUACCUGAGUAAGAAGGCCCGGCUAACGAAGUGCCAGCAGCCGCGGUAAUACGUAGGGGGCAAGCGUUAUCCGGAUUGACGGGGGGGAAAGGGAGCGUAGACGGGAGUGCCAGGCUGGAGUGAAAGGCGGGGGCUCAACCCCCGGACGGCGCGGGAAACGGUACGGCUGGAGUGCAGGAGAGGUAAGUGGACUUCCUUGUGUAGCGGUGACAUGCGUAGAUCUU
This 343-nucleotide ribosomal RNA is filed under the name uncultured bacterium. Its description in RNAcentral is "partial 16S ribosomal RNA". It matches the Rfam family "Bacterial small subunit ribosomal RNA", at positions 338 to 698 of the family's 1533-position model. The record is from RNAcentral.